Ciona savignyi (Pacific transparent sea squirt) is the source of this 119-nucleotide non-coding RNA. Lineage: Eukaryota; Metazoa; Chordata; Ascidiacea; Phlebobranchia; Cionidae. The record is from Rfam.
GCUUAUCACCAUUCCAGAUUGAAUAUACCCGAUCUCGUCUGAUCUCGGAAGUCAAGCAAUCUCGGGCUUGGUUAGUACUUGGAUGGGUGCCCGCUUGGGAAGACCCAGUGUGAUAAGCA